Myodes glareolus (Bank vole) is the source of this 2482-nucleotide non-coding RNA. The record is from RefSeq and is a predicted model, not a curated record. Lineage: Eukaryota; Metazoa; Chordata; Mammalia; Rodentia; Cricetidae.
AAAAACCCUCAUAAUUUAAAAUCUUUUUUUAAAAAAAAUGUCACGUGAAGGGGAAAGGGUUAUAGACCAUUUCUGUUUAUUGUGUGUUAAACACCGGCCCUUCCUUUUCCCUUUGCCAGCAGUUAGGGCAGGUCUGCCUGCCUUCAAGGUCAUUCUUGAGUCUUAACACCCAGCAGCCUUCCUUAUCAGCCUGGCUUUGGGAAUUUGACCUUUUCUGUGCUCUGUGAACACACAAGGUCUUCAGGAGUUCUCCAAACACAGCCUGGCCUGGCCUGCCCAUCUGAGUUUUGUCUUUUCUUUUAGACGGAGGCUUUCUUCUACUCAAAGCGAAGCCUCCGUAGUCCCAAGGCCCAGAACCUUGGCUUCAGGAUGGUUUAGCCGGUUCAGGCCACUUGCCACCACAGUGCCUUAGGCCUCAUCUAAUUUACAUUCCGAGUAGUGAAGUAGUCAAUUAUUUAUUUAAACCCUCUUCUUUAUAAGAGCUGCAAAGUGCCCUGGAAAUCCCAGGUCUUGCAGCAGAGGAAGUUUUGGAAAAGCUCCCCCUAAGAAGCGGCACCAAAGCCUACUGACGUCCUUCAACUUCUGCUCACAGUCUUCAUCUAGACCCUUUAAUUGGCAUGUAUUUACUGUCUUCAAAAACGUAGUGGCCCAUGUGACUCAGCUUUCCCACUUCUGGGCGUGUUCCCCAGAGUCGGCAUCCAACAGAGCUGCCUGCAUCCUCACCCAUAUUACAGCACUGCUUAUAAAGACUGAGGUAUGGAGUCCACCUAGGUGUUCACCAGACAGACAAAUGAAGAAACUGGGGUGUCCAAAUGCGGCAGACUUCCUCAAAUGCAAGGAAGAAUGAAGUGGUGCCAUUUGCAGGAAAAUAGGUGCAGGGAUCAAGGAAAGAGAAAUAAGCCAUCAGCAUGAAGACACAUAUUGUGUGUUUUCUCUCAUGUGUGGAGUCUCAGAGAUGGAAGUUUUCCCUUUCUCCAAUCCAGUCUCAACUGACCAUGUGACACCAUCACUCUCCCUGGAUAAGAAGCCGCUUACAACUCGGAGACUGUUUCCAUCCACCAUGGUACACCUCCUCCUGCCUGAUUCCCCAUCUGCUGUCUCACUACCGUGGUUGACCACAAGGUGUUCUAUUUUGGCCAAAUUGAAGGUGGCACCAUCCUGGGAUUUGAGACGGCUUCAGUGACUGGGCAGUUUUUAUUAGGAGCAGUAAAUUAUUGAAAAAUCAUUCAGAGAAAGAUAUUAGGAGUAUCACAGGGAAGGCAGAGAUGCUGUGGGGGCAGAGACAGUUGCUCCACAUUCAAGGAGAUUUGUGUGGGUGGAGGUCAGAGGUCAGUGGUUGGUAUCAUCCUCAACUUUUUCAGACAGGUUGGCAACUGACCUAGAAACUUAUUAAUUUAGCUAAUUUUGCUGGCUAGCAAGCUGAAGGGGUUCUUCUGUCUCCUAGUCCUCCCCUGUGCUAGGAUGCUAUGUCCAACUUUCUACAGAGGUGCUGGGAAUCUGAACUCAGGUCCUUCUGCUUGUGUGAAAGCACAUUGCUGACUUAGUCAUCUCCCCAGCUGUUUUCUCCUCUUCCUCCUCCUCCUCCCUCCUCUUUCUUCGUGUCACUAAUGCCACCAGCAUCAGCACAGGAGCCUGAUGAUUAAAUUAGCAACAUUUGAGAUUUCAGAAACUUGCAUUUUCUGAUUAGAGGGAAUCUGUGUAGAAACUUAAAUGAUAUUUGCUAAAAUCCAAGUUAAAGGACAAUUUUAUGGGACCAAAUCGGUGACUUUGGCCAGUAAAUAUCACAUUUUUGGCAUUUGCCAUGAUUAAGGCAGAUUCAGAAUUUCUUGAUCUUUUCCAUGCUGUGAGAAAGAAGGGUCUUGGGCUCCAGUUUUGAACUGGAUGCUUUACUUGGCUAAGAUGAUUGGAGAAGCAGAUGAGAUAGGACAACUACAAUUAGUGCAUCCAUAAAUUGUUUGUUAAAAUUGGGCAUCUUCUUUGCUUUUAAGCACAAACUGAGCUCAUGGAUUUUAGUGAUACCCAUUGCCUCCCUGACAGCUUUUCCUGAAAGUCCUAUCAUAAACUUCUCACCAGUGUGCGGCAGAGGCAUGCAAAGCAAUAGUGUAAAGUUUUGUGUAUGACCAGUUUAUUAUUUAUGACAAAUUUUAUGCCCAUUUUGACCAGUUCUUAGAGUGAUUUAUCAACCAUUACCUGCUAACUGAUAUCGUGUUUAUAGUUAACUUUUUUUCUAUGUUUUUAAAAAAAGAUUUUAAGUGUGUGUACGUGUUUAUGCAUAUGAGUGUAGUGCUUUUGAACGCCAGAAGAGGGCACCAGAUUCACUGGAGCCAGAGUCAUAAGUGAAUGUUAGUACCCAAUGUCCAUGCUGGGAGAUAAACGCAGAUCUUCUGUAAGAGCAGUAUGCACUCUUGAUGGCUAAACCACUUCUCCAGUCCUUCUGUGUUUGUCCCUACUUAAUUUAGUUUUUUAUUUAGCCCUUGAGAGU